RNAcentral lists this unclassified non-coding RNA (240 nucleotides) under soil metagenome. RNAcentral describes it as "partial contains 5.8S ribosomal RNA, internal transcribed spacer 2, and large subunit ribosomal RNA". The record is from RNAcentral.
AACUGAUACUACCUGCGGGAACCUGCGGAAGGAUCAUUACCAAGAGAAAUCUUUCAACACUGAAAGAUCUUUUCCUUUGUGCUGGCUUUGACCGUAUGUAAUUUUGGGACUUUAAAAUGGUUCGCAAGGGCCGGUCCCAAAAACAAUAUAUCAUCCUUAUGAAAUUUUUUCUGAACAAUUAAACAAAUGAUUUUAAUAAUCUGUUUAAAACAACUUUUAGCAAUGGAUCUCUAGAUCGGA